RNAcentral lists this ribosomal RNA (404 nucleotides) under uncultured bacterium. RNAcentral describes it as "bacterial SSU rRNA". It matches the Rfam family "Bacterial small subunit ribosomal RNA", at positions 355 to 776 of the family's 1533-position model. RNAcentral also lists the same sequence under 2 other names. The record is from RNAcentral.
UGGGGAAUCUUGCACAAUGGGGGAAACCCUGAUGCAGCGAUGCCGCGUGAGUGAAGAAGGCCCUUGGGUUGUAAAACUCUUUCGUCGGGGAAGAAAAUGACUGUACCCGAAUAAGAAGGUCCGGCUAACUUCGUGCCAGCAGCCGCGGUAAUACGAAGGGACCUAGCGUAGUUCGGAAUUACUGGGCUUAAAGAGCUCGUAGGUGGUUAAAAAAGUUGAUGGUGAAAUCCCAAGGCUCAACCUUGGAACUGCCAUCAAAACUUUUUAGCUAGAGUGUGAUAGAGGUAAGUGGAAUUUCUAGUGUAGAGGUGAAAUUCGUAGAUAUUAGAAAGAACACCAAAUGCGAAGGCAACUUACUGGGUCACUACUGACACUGAGGAGCGAAAGCAUGGGUAGCGAAGAGG